This 304-nucleotide ribosomal RNA is filed under the name uncultured Alphaproteobacteria bacterium. RNAcentral describes it as "bacterial SSU rRNA". It matches the Rfam family "Bacterial small subunit ribosomal RNA", at positions 31 to 362 of the family's 1533-position model. The record is from RNAcentral. Lineage: Bacteria; Pseudomonadati; Pseudomonadota; Alphaproteobacteria.
GUACGCUGGCGGCACGCCUAACACAUGCAAGUCGAACGAAGUAGCAAUACUUAGUGGCAGACGGGUGAGUAACAUGUAGGUAUCUGCCCUUUGGCCUGGAAUAACACGAGGAAACUUGUGCUAAUACCGGAUAAGUCUUUACGGAGAAAGCUUUAUGCACCAUUGGAUGAGCCUGCACUUGAUUAGUUUGUUGGUGGGGUAAUGGCCUACCAAGACUUUGAUCAAUAGCUGAUUUGAGAGGAUGAUCAGCCACAUUGGGACUGAGACACGGCCCAAACUCCUACGGGAGGCAGCAGUGGGGAAU